This 280-nucleotide ribosomal RNA is filed under the name uncultured Staphylococcus sp. Its description in RNAcentral is "partial 16S ribosomal RNA". It matches the Rfam family "Bacterial small subunit ribosomal RNA", at positions 82 to 356 of the family's 1533-position model. Lineage: Bacteria; Bacillati; Bacillota; Bacilli; Caryophanales; Staphylococcaceae. The record is from RNAcentral.
CUCCUUGACGUUAGCGGCGGACGGGUGAGUAACACGUGGGUAACCUACCUAUAAGACUGGGAUAACUUCGGGAAACCGGAGCUAAUACCGGAUAAUAUUUCGAACCGCAUGGUUCGAUAGUGAAAGGUGGUUUUGCUAUCACUUAUAGAUGGACCCGCGCCGUAUUAGCUAGUUGGUAAGGUAACGGCUUACCAAGGCGACGAUACGUAGCCGACCUGAGAGGGUGAUCGGCCACACUGGAACUGAGACACGGUCCAGACUCCUACGGGAGGCAGCAGCG